GGACCAAGGAGUCUAGCAUGUGCGCGAGUUACUGGGACUCGAUAAACCUAAGGGCGCAAUGAAAGUAAAGGCAUGCCUUGUGCUUGCAUAGGGAGGAUGGGUUGUUGUCACGACACGGCCCCGCACUCCCGGGGCGUCUCGCACUCAUUGCGAGUUGAGGCGCACCCAGAGCGUACACGCUGGGACCC
Molecule: ribosomal RNA, 188 nt
Filed under: Oxytelus sp. 3 BT-2011
Lineage: Eukaryota; Metazoa; Arthropoda; Insecta; Coleoptera; Staphylinidae
Also listed under: 1 other name
Description: partial 28S ribosomal RNA
Rfam family: Eukaryotic large subunit ribosomal RNA
Source: RNAcentral